This 714-nucleotide ribosomal RNA is filed under the name uncultured Enterobacterales bacterium. RNAcentral describes it as "bacterial SSU rRNA". It matches the Rfam family "Bacterial small subunit ribosomal RNA", at positions 60 to 761 of the family's 1533-position model. Lineage: Bacteria; Pseudomonadati; Pseudomonadota; Gammaproteobacteria; Enterobacterales. The record is from RNAcentral.
AGUCGAGCGGUAGCACAGGGGAGCUUGCUCCCCGGGUGACGAGCGGCGGACGGGUGAGUAAUGUCUGGGAAACUGCCUGAUGGAGGGGGAUAACUACUGGAAACGGUAGCUAAUACCGCAUAACGUCGCAAGACCAAAGAGGGGGACCUUCGGGCCUCUUGCCAUCAGAUGUGCCCAGAUGGGAUUAGCUAGUAGGUGGGGUAAUGGCUCACCUAGGCGACGAUCCCUAGCUGGUCUGAGAGGAUGACCAGCCACACUGGAACUGAGACACGGUCCAGACUCCUACGGGAGGCAGCAGUGGGGAAUAUUGCACAAUGGGCGCAAGCCUGAUGCAGCCAUGCCGCGUGUGUGAAGAAGGCCUUCGGGUUGUAAAGCACUUUCAGCGAGGAGGAAGGUGGUGAACUUAAUACGUUCAUCAAUUGACGUUACUCGCAGAAGAAGCACCGGCUAACUCCGUGCCAGCAGCCGCGGUAAUACGGAGGGUGCAAGCGUUAAUCGGAAUUACUGGGCGUAAAGCGCACGCAGGCGGUUUGUUAAGUCAGAUGUGAAAUCCCCGGGCUCAACCUGGGAACUGCAUUUGAAACUGGCAAGCUAGAGUCUCGUAGAGGGGGGUAGAAUUCCUAGGUGUAGCGNGUGAAAUGCGUAGAGAUCUGGAGGAAUACCGGUGGCGAAGGCGGCCCCCUGGACGAAGACUGACGCUCAGGUGCGAAAGCG